GGUGACGGUGAAGGUGCCGAUGAUGGACACCGGAAUCGCCACGACCGGAAUCAUCGUCGCCCGCAUGCUGCCCAGGAAGAGGAAGAUCACGAGGAU
RNAcentral lists this unclassified non-coding RNA (96 nucleotides) under fungal sp. Its description in RNAcentral is "partial internal transcribed spacer region". The record is from RNAcentral. Lineage: Eukaryota; Fungi.